GAUGAACGCUGGCGGCGUGCCUAAUACAUGCAAGUCGAGCGAACAGACGAGGAGCUUGCUCCUCUGACGUUAGCGGCGGACGGGUGAGUAACACGUGGAUAACCUACCUAUAAGACUGGGAUAACUUCGGGAAACCGGAGCUAAUACCGGAUAACAUGUUGAACCGCAUGGUUCAACAGUGAAAGACGGUCUUGCUGUCACUUAUAGAUGGAUCCGCGCCGCAUUAGCUAGUUGGUAAGGUAACGGCUUACCAAGGCAACGAUGCGUAGCCGACCUGAGAGGGUGAUCGGCCACACUGGAACUGAGACACGGUCAAGACUCCUACGGGAGGCAGCAGUAGGGAAUCUUCCGCAAUGGGCGAAAGCCUGACGGAGCAACGCCGCGUGAGUGAAGAAGGUCUUCGGAUCGUAAAACUCUGUUAUUAGGGAAGAACAAAUGUGUAAGUAACUAUGCACGUCUUGACGGUACCUAAUCAGAAAGCCACGGCUAACUACGUG
RNAcentral lists this ribosomal RNA (497 nucleotides) under uncultured bacterium. RNAcentral's name for it is "partial 16S ribosomal RNA". It matches the Rfam family "Bacterial small subunit ribosomal RNA", at positions 28 to 507 of the family's 1533-position model. The record is from RNAcentral.